Molecule: long non-coding RNA, 3906 nt
Organism: Dromaius novaehollandiae (emu)
Lineage: Eukaryota; Metazoa; Chordata; Aves; Casuariiformes; Dromaiidae
Exons: 2
Source: RefSeq, a predicted model, not a curated record
CUAGGCUAGGUUGUGGCUUUUAUUACUCAGGCUCACAACCAACAAGCAGUGCUGUGCAGCAGAUGCUCCUGAGUUGUGCUUUUGCAGUGGUCACCGCUGAUGGGAAUAGCUGAGAGGGUGGAAGUAAGCAGAGGAGCAUUCCUCCAUGAAAUCUUCGCUGGUGCAGGUACAGCACUUGGAUGCAAGGGCUACUCUGAUGAAAGUAUUUUCUGAAGUGACUAAUACAUCAGUACAGACUGAAUGCAUUACUUCGGAUUUCUGAUCCCCAAGGAGACAUGAAUGCACCAGGGUCUUCUGGAAGAGUGUUUCUGCCCCAGGGCACUUCGCUGCCCAGCUAGCCCAAACAAGAGGUGAGGCUGGGACCAGGCACUGGGAGGAGAACGGAGACACCCCAGAACCCAGAGGCCACUCAAAGAAACACCAGGUUGCCGGACAGAGAGGCCGGUGCUGCAUCCAGGACACCCCACAGUCCCCCACUGUAUCACACUGGUUUGGUUUCUCCCCAUAGAUGAGCAAAGUGCAGCUUUUGUAUGGUGAGGUGAAUACAGUCCUGGGUUUAAAGCACAGGACUGAGAGUCAGCAGUGCUGGGCACUAGUGCCAGUGUGCGAAUGACAAGUUUUGGCAGGUUAGUGAAUGCAUCUCUACGCAUUAGUUUCUCCCUCUGUGGAAUAUGAAUAACGGCUGCUUCACAGCAGUAUUUGUUAUAGUGAUGGUAUUCAUAUUUAUGAAGCCCUUUCUAGAUGGAAAAAAAUAAAAGCUUAAAAUUCUUGUAAAAUUCAUUACUAUGAAGAGGAUACCUUAGUGCACAUAACAAUUCUGUGUAUCAGGGAAUCAUUGAUUAACCAGCUGAACCAUGGAAAUCUCUUUGCCUGCAUUAAUUUUUCAGUGGCUUUAGAGAUAAUAAGUGAUAUUUGAAUGUAUCUGAAAUAUUAGCAAGGACUUUAGACUGCAGCAUUUCCCAGUGUAUUAAAACUCUCCAGCCAUGUUUCUCAUUUGGCUCAUUUGAUUUUAUGCAAUAGUUUUAUGAAUGCUCAUCCCUGUUUGUGUUCAGCAUUAGAGACAUGAAUUGGACUGAAAUCACUCUUGGACAGAGCUGGGAUUAUCACUCCUGCUGAUGACUAUGCUAUUUGGAAUUGUGUUUUUUGAAAGCAUUUAAUAGAGGAAACUGGACUUCCAGCUUGUGUUGUGCUAAAAUUUCCUGAUAAUUGUGUGGCUUUGACACGGUGAGUGAAAGAAGGAUAGAUCAAAGGAUCAUAUCAUGAGGCGGUCAAGGAUAUUGAGUUGGAUCAUGCCGAAUAUAUGUUGUUCAGAGCACGUCUUGGUGCUCUUUAAUGUAAGCCAUAGAGAACGAAGCAAAGGAAAGAAGAGAAGAAAGAAGAAAUACACCAUCACUUUCUUUGACAAUAUCAACUUUGGAAUUCAGCAAAUAUUGCUUAAAAUGCCUGUUUCAUUGCUUGCUUUCCUCCACCCAUCCAUGCCAGAGCGCAGCAAUCUUGGUCAACGUGUGUGUAACCUCAUUGGCCCGGAGUGCGCUCCUGCUCCUGGCCUGAGGCCAGUUCGUGCCCUGCCACAGGAGCUGCUGCAGAUGCCCCCCUCCUUCUCUUGGGAGCUAGUUUUAAGCUGAGACUUCGUGCCCAGCCUGGGCCAUGCUGCAGCUGCGUUGCGCCCUGCAGGACUGCAGGGCAGUGUGGUGCUGGCCCUCGUUCCCAGGGCUGCCCUCUGGCCGGGCUCCUUGAAGGGCUGCAUUCUCCACGAUGCAGCGAGCACACAUUUUCCUUUAAUUAAGCGAAGAGGCAAAGUAUUGAAGUCGUACAACCCUGGAUUCUUUGUGAAAGACAUUAUAGACCUUCAAACAGUCCCAUAGGGAAAGAUGUGGCCUUAAAUGCUCAGCUAGUCCUUCCAUAAGGCAAUACACUGUUAUAGGAAAAUGCAAUUUAAUACUGAUUUGAGACAAAGCAUUUCAAACCAGCUGCAUGAGUGAAAACAAAGCAUUUAGAUUUGGAAAUAUGCUUCACUUUGAUCAAAAAUACUAUAACAGAUGUUUCAAACUUUAUUUUUUUCUCAAUGUCCAUUCCAAAAAAAUUUUUCAGUGUCACUUUUUGGCCUUGAUUUAUGGUGGAAAUAUUCAAAUGCUGUCAGAAUUCACUGAAGGAUAAAAAUCCUAAAUGCCACUCAGCUCUUACCAUGAAGCUGUAGUGAAGUGGCAUGAGGGAGCAGUGUGCUUGGGGAAGAGGAGGGGGCUCUACUGCCAGGAAUGCAGACAGGGAGGAAGCACAAAACAGGAUCCCUAGAAGCACUGAGAUCUGGGAAGAGAGAUGGAGUGAAACUAAAAUACCGAAAAAGAGGAAAGAACAUACGUGACUGAGGGAAUGAGGUUGUUCUUGUUAGCAAGUGAUAAAUAUAGAGUUGUACUUAUGCCCUAGCAGUGUCUUCUGUGGGAUUAACAGAUACUUCCACGACUAUGAGAUAGCUGCAGGUUAUAGACAGUAUAUGCAUCGAAAAGAAAGAGAAAAGCAGGAGAGGGAGAGUGAAGGAGGGAUGCCUAGGAAGGCUGCGGGGCUGCUCUUUGCAGGCAGGCCUGGUUUCUGCCGCUUUCCCUGCAGAGGGAGUAUAACACUAUAAAUGAAGCGUGGAGAGCAGGGCGGUGGGGGGCUGGCUGCUCAGGAGCAGAAGUCUGGUCAGCUAACAGACUUCGGGGGACUCCAGCAGAUGCUUUAUAGCAUAUUCCUUUUAUUUGGUACUUCCAUUUGUAAAGCACACGUUUUCAUUUAUUAAACUAUUUAGCAACCUAACAAUAUUAUAUAUGAUAUAUAUGUUGUAUAUGAUAAAGGUUAAUUAAUGGGUGUGACUAACGAAAUAUAGUUUAUGAUAUUGUGAAGCGAAUGUGUAGCAUGGAAAAAAAAUAAGGCCUCCUGGUAUGUACACAGGUUCAGGAUGUGGAUUUCCAGCUGAGGCAUGUGAGCCUAAAAUUUCUUCCCGCUAAUGUGGUAGCACUGGCACCCCUGGGUGUCAGUGGAGCCCAGACUCAUCAGUGGCUGCAUGGAGCUUACAGCGUGGAAAAACGAGUAUAUUGUUCAGAUAACCUCACAUUGAAUUUUUUUAAAAUGAAAUUUAUGAUAAUAAAUUAUCAUAAAAAUAAAGUCAGACAAUCACAUAUUAAUGGCCAAGGAGAGUGGACAAGGAUUGCUGAUAUAUAUAUAUUUUUAAUACUAAAGGACCUACCUUCUCAUUCUCACUUUUCUUCUUUUUUUAAGAUUGCAGGAACUCGUGAUCUUUUUUCCUGUGGGUACGCAGCAGUGUUGUAAGUAACAGGCUUGAGCCAGGGGAGCUGCACCUGGUGGAUAGUUUUGGGGAACAAUUACCAGUUUCCAAAUGGCCUGCGCCAGCCAGAGUAAGGGAGCUGUAACAACUCCCCGUGAUUUACUGUGUCUGGCAGGUACCGAAUGUGUGGACACAUGAACAAAGGCACGUUUAGUUUUGCACCUGCACACACAGUAAUAUUUAGGUCUUGUGUUUAAACCAUUGAGGUAGACCGUGGGCUAGUUAGUGUUAUCCACAGUUACCACUGACCUCUUCAUGCUUUUGCACUGUUUGUUGCAUCUACUUUUCUCUUGGUUUAAGCAGCAGGACGAGCAGUAUGGAUAGUAAGUGCCUCAUCCCAAUUCAUGGAAGAUUCAUAACUCCUAACAAGGUGUCUGGACUUCCUUGGUGGAUGUUAAAUUUGCCUAAUGACCACUUAGUAAAAUACAUUUGGAUGUCGGCUCCUUUGAGGAAGAGUCCACGUAUUCAGUUUAAGUGCUGACUGCUCUGCAUACAAGCUACAUAGAAAAUCUUCUGGCUGUACAAGCAUGUUGUAUUCUUGUUCUCUUAUAUUAGAUUAAAUGUAAGCACUGAUAAAUGAAAAA